RNAcentral lists this ribosomal RNA (460 nucleotides) under uncultured bacterium. Its description in RNAcentral is "partial 16S ribosomal RNA". It matches the Rfam family "Bacterial small subunit ribosomal RNA", at positions 338 to 795 of the family's 1533-position model. The record is from RNAcentral.
CCUACGGGUGGCAGCAGUGAGGAAUAUUUGUCAAUGGACGAAAGUCUGAACCAGCCAAGUCGCGUGAAGGAUGACUGCUCUAUGGGUUGUAAACUUCUUUUAUAAAGGAAUAAAACGAGGCACGUGUGCCUUUUUGCAUGUACUCUAGGAAUAAGGAUCGGCUAACUCCGUGCCAGCAGCCGCGGUAAUACGGAGGAUCCGAGCGUUAUCCGGAUUUAUUGGGUUUAAAGGGAGCGUAGGUGGUUUGUUAAGUCAGUUGUGAAAGUUUGCGGCUCAACCGUAAAAUUGCAAUUGAUACUGGCAGACUUGAGUACGGUUGAGGUAGGCGGAAUUCGUGGUGUAGCGGUGAAAUGCUUAGAUAUCACGAAGAACCCCGAUUGCGAAGGCAGCUUACUAAACUGUAACUGACAUUGAUGCACGAAAGCGUGGGGAUCAAACAGGAUUAGAUACCCGAGUAGUC